CACGUAGGCACCAAGCGUUGUCCGGAUUUAUUGGGCGUAAAGAGCUCGUAGGCGGUUCGGUUAGUCGGGUGUGAAAACUUUGGGCUCAACCCAAAGCGUGCACUCGAUACUGCCGUGACUAGAGUUCGGUAGGGGAGUGGGGAAUUCCUAGUGUAGCGGUGAAAUGCGCAGAUAUCAGGAAGAACACCCGUGGCGAAGGCGGCUCUCUGGGACGGUACUGACGCUGAGACGCGAAAGCGUGGGGAGCGAACAGG
This 254-nucleotide ribosomal RNA is filed under the name uncultured bacterium. RNAcentral's name for it is "partial 16S ribosomal RNA". It matches the Rfam family "Bacterial small subunit ribosomal RNA", at positions 524 to 776 of the family's 1533-position model. The record is from RNAcentral.